GCAUCAAAGGAAAUUGGAACUGUGAAGAAGAGAAUUGUAAGAGUGUUUGCUCUAUUCAUGGCAAUGGACACAUUGUAACAUUUGAUGGAUUGCCGUAUAGUUUUGAUGGACUGUGUCAAUAUACAUUGGUAGAAGGAGAAGAUGGCCUAUUUAGAAUAUCAGUACAAAGUGAGCCUUGCUGUGAUGGGGGCCUAACCUGCUCUAGAAAAGUUAUUAUUCAAACUUCUAAAAUUACAAUUAUCCUUCAAGAUGGGAAAGC
Nanorana parkeri is the source of this 259-nucleotide long non-coding RNA. RefSeq lists it as uncharacterized. The record is from RefSeq and is a predicted model, not a curated record. Lineage: Eukaryota; Metazoa; Chordata; Amphibia; Anura; Dicroglossidae. The transcript has 3 exons.